This 500-nucleotide ribosomal RNA is filed under the name uncultured bacterium. RNAcentral describes it as "partial 16S ribosomal RNA". It matches the Rfam family "Bacterial small subunit ribosomal RNA", at positions 30 to 523 of the family's 1533-position model. The record is from RNAcentral.
AUUGAACGCUGGCGGAAUGCUUUACACAUGCAAGACGAACGGCAGCACGGACUUCGGUCUGGUGGCGAGUGGCGAACGGGUGAGUAACAUAUCGGAACGUAUCCAAUAAUGGGGGAUAACGAGUCGAAAGAUUCGCUACUACCGCAUACGCCCUACGGGGGAAAGGUGGGGACCUUCGCGCCGGGCGUUAAUGGAGCGGCCGAUAUCUGAUUAGCUAGUUGGUGAGGUAAAGGCUCACCAAGGCGACGAUCAGUAGCUGGUCUGAGAGGACGACCGGCCACACUGGAACUGAGACACGGUCCAGACUCCUACGGGAGGCAGCAGUGGGGAAUUUUGGACAAUGGGCGCAAGCCUGAUCCAGCCAUUCCGCGUGAGUGAAGAAGGCCUUCGGGUUGUAAAGCUCUUUCGCAAGGGAAGAAAACUUAGCCACUAACAUUGGUUGAGGUUGACGGUACCUUGAUAAGAAGCACCGGCUAACUACGUGCCAGCCGCCGCCGUAA